Long non-coding RNA from Nannospalax galili (Upper Galilee mountains blind mole rat), 1866 nucleotides. RefSeq lists it as uncharacterized. NCBI's taxonomy places the organism in Eukaryota, Metazoa, Chordata, Mammalia, Rodentia, Spalacidae. The transcript is spliced from 3 exons. The record is from RefSeq and is a predicted model, not a curated record.
UUUUUUAAUCCAAAAGUCAGAUUUGAAAAGCAUAUAAAUACAUCCUCUUGGCAGAUAGAAACUCAAAAGGUGUUAAGUUAAAAUGCAGCUGGAAUGCUGUAGGCUGGCAGCUGUCAGAGGUGGUGGGCCACGUGGGAUUUUUUUUUUUUUUUAAUGAAUGGGAGUUUGAUUUUCCAGUGUGUUACUCAGCUGUGGAUUUUCAGAUGGGUGUGCCCUGCAGAUGAGAAUGGUCACAUUCUAACUGGUGGGUGGAGCGUGGUUUAAGAGUCUGGAGAGUCAUACAUUCUGCCUUUAGAAUUCUCUGUGUAAACAUGGUUAUAACUUGGAAAGAGCACGAGAAAGUGUUCUGUCCUGAAACUACCCAUGAUCGGUGAUCAAGACUCUUGCUCGCCUAGCUCAAGAGAAAACAGAAACCUUCUGAAAGAGAAAGUCAGAGACAGACGCUUCCCCUGACUUCUUGGAAGAAAUGACUCCAGGCCUGGACUCACUAUGCUUGGGUGCCUGCUAAGGUCAAGAGGGGGCAGCAAUGACAACAUGAAGGAGGUUUACGAUCCUGAACACUUAUGAAAUGGCCAUCAGGGGAAGGAAAAUCAGGGAUGUUCAGCUACAAUGUGAAAAUCACUAAGAGGGGACAUGGCUGAAGGUCCUUUGAUAAUCAGAAUGUGCCUUCAGUCUGACCCAGAGUCCAGGAACUGGUGAACACUCACAGCCAAGUUUCCCUGGACCAAAUGGAUUUCAACAGGGUAUAUGGUUAAGUCUGCAUGGAUCUAUCGAUAUGAAGGAAAUCAUUAGCAGUCACCAUCCAAUACACAGCCCCAUUCUGUGCUGUCUCCAUCUGAGAAUCUGCCUAGGCCAAAAGCCAUUUCUGGAAGCUGCUUCAUGCGGAGAGGUUCUUAAGAGAUGCCCUGGAGGAAUGAAGAAGUCCCAGCAUCCUCCCUGAAUUCCAUGGCACAUUUCUUCCCAAGGAUCCCUCCCUAGGUGGCUGUGAGCAUUACUGCUUCUAGUAAAGGAAGAUGCUCCAAGAACAGAGGUGGCCCCUCUCGCUUCUCCUCCCUUCUUCACUAAGCCACUGUCUUAGUAGCACCUGAGAAGUAUCAAGAGAUAUGUCAUAUCUAGGUCACUCAAAUGUCUUACUACUGUCUUUAUCUUUUAUUCUUUUCCCUGAAAUAUCUGAGAUGUGCCUCCUUUGUCACUGUAUCUCAGAAUGGACAGAUGUCAUCUGUGGGUUUUUUUCUAGAACAUUCCAGUCUACCUCCACCCCCAACACAGAGAUCUUAUUUUCAUACUAAAGCUGAGCACAAGAAUUGAGGUUGAAAACUUUCUCUUGGUAGAAGCCACAUGAUAACCAUGUUCCUUAGAUUCUGUUACAAAACAACCAUUGGCUUUAAGUGGAAACCUGAAAAUUUAGGGUAAUUACAGUAUCAAUUCAUGAUUACUGAAUGCAUUCCCUCAACUUCCUUUGUGACUGAUAUUUGGAGUCUAUUACUGUAACCUUCUCUGAAAAAAGCAUGUUGUCCCUGAAACUAGAUGUCUGUGGGACCUGAGACAUCCCACACCCCUGAAGCUUCUCAGCUAUGAAUCAUGUGGCUGCCCAAAACCGGUUUACUCUCUUCUUUCUUCUGAGUUUUUCUCUCAUAAGUUCCCUCCACUUGUAACCAGCUUCCAGAAUACCUGCCUUCAGCCCUAGCAGUAACAUGAGUCUGAAUGGAUGGGAUUUCUAUAUUAUUCUAGACCAAGCUACAAAUGAUCAGCUUCCCCACUGAGGCCCGAUGGCAGUAUUACGAGGCUUUAACUUGACGGGGGCUCACUUUGUUAAUAGAAUUCUCUCUUCAGUUGUUUGACUAUGUUAAUGUUGCUAGAAGAGGG